This 253-nucleotide ribosomal RNA is filed under the name uncultured bacterium. Its description in RNAcentral is "partial 16S ribosomal RNA". It matches the Rfam family "Bacterial small subunit ribosomal RNA", at positions 524 to 776 of the family's 1533-position model. The record is from RNAcentral.
UACGUAGGGUGCAAGCGUUAAUCGGAAUUACUGGGCGUAAAGCGUGCGCAGGCGGUUUUGUAAGUCUGGCGUGAAAUCCCCGGGCUUAACCUGGGAAUUGCGUUGGAGACUGCAAGGCUAGAAUCUGGCAGAGGGGGGUAGAAUUCCACGUGUAGCAGUGAAAUGCGUAGAGAUGUGGAGGAACACCGAUGGCGAAGGCAGCCCCCUGGGUCAAGAUUGACGCUCAUGCACGAAAGCGUGGGGAGCAAACAGG